AUACGGAGGAUGCGAGCGUUAUCCGGAUUUAUUGGGUUUAAAGGGAGCGUAGGCGGGAGCUUAAGUCAGCGGUUAAAUGGUGCGGCUCAACCGUGCCCUGCCGUUGAAACUGGGUUUCUUGAGAGUGCAAGAGGCGGAUGGAAUUCAUGGUGUAGCGGUGAAAUGCUUAGAUAUCAUGAAGAACUCCGAUUGCGAAGGCAGUCCGCUGGGGCACGUCUGACGCUGAUGCUCGAAGGUGCGGGAAUCAAACAGGAUUAGAUACCCCGGUAGUCCGCACGGUAAACGAUGAUUACCCGCUGUCGGCGGUAGACAGUCGGCGGCCAAGCGAAAGCGAUAAGUAAUCCACCUGGGGAGUACGCCGGCAACGGUGAAACUCAAAGGAAUUGACGGGG
Molecule: ribosomal RNA, 392 nt
Filed under: uncultured bacterium
Lineage: Bacteria
Description: partial 16S ribosomal RNA
Rfam family: Bacterial small subunit ribosomal RNA
Source: RNAcentral